UCCUUACUAACUCCAGUCUGCUUUGGAUCAUCCUGGAAAACCACAAGGGCUUGGGAGGAGCCUGGGGAUGGGAAGGGGACAGCAGGGACCCAGAGCACUGUCCCAGAUUUGUCUGAAGCUCCGUGUGCUCUUGUGUGUUGAUGUGGGUGGAAACAGCAGGGUCUCCCAGAUCUGGUCUAUCCUUUGUGGCCAAUUGCUUGCUCAGUCACCCUCAGACUCAGAGAUCCGCCUGCCUCUGUCUCCUGAGUGCUGGGAUUAAAGGCGUGCGCCACCAUGCCAGGCCACCCUGCAGUUCUUAAGUGUAUUUCCUAUCUGACGUACCCAGCAAUACCAGUAGAGUCCUAACUUGGGAUGAAGGGGACCUAGUCACCAACUGUAUCCCAGGCCUUGGAUUACAACUGCUACAUACUAACUCAUCAACUGUCCCAGAAGACCAUCUUGUCUAUCAUUGCGGAGGCAGAAGCUCAGAGAGGUUUGGUGACUUAUUUGAAGGCACACAUCCAGGAAGGCACAAGCAGAUCCCAGGCAUGGGUAGGGACAGGAGCUCCAAGCUGAUGAGGGACCGGGAAUAAAUCCAAAACUUGGAGGCCAUGUUACACCUGUCACCUGCUGGUGAGGGAGUCAAGAUUCUCCUAGCAUGGAACCCUGGAGCCCUUUGGAAAAGCCAGGGCAGCCUGCAUGUCCAGCCUGGCCCAUGCGGGGAGACUAGCUCCUACCUCGAAGCCGCCUCCUUCCUUCUCUGUGUAUGGUGAAUUACUGAAUGAAAAUUCAAAGCCAACUGUCAAUGGCAAGAAGUGGGAGGAAGGAAAACGGCAAUUAGGAGCCUCACCUCAUUUCCACAGUGUGCUUUAAGCUCCCCAUCAACAGGCAGGAGAGACAACCUGGCUUCGACCUGACUGGGAUCCCACUGGCUUUCUGGUUCUCUCCAGUAGGCCAGCAGGUUCUUGAUGCAGCCAGGCCAAGCAGGGAGGCCCCAGCAUACCAGCCUGGGACCUCAGAGCUGUCUGCCAGGGGCCAGGGAGGCUCCAUUCCCUAGAGAAGUCGCUUCCAGCGGAAUGAGCGGCAUUACAGAAAGGAAACAUUAACAUCAUAAUUAUAAUUCUGCUUAUUUAAUUAAGUUAUUAAAUAGGCCUAGCCUGGGCAAGAUAGAAAAACAA
This is a non-coding RNA of Cricetulus griseus (Chinese hamster), 1157 nucleotides long. The record is from RefSeq and is a predicted model, not a curated record. NCBI's taxonomy places the organism in Eukaryota, Metazoa, Chordata, Mammalia, Rodentia, Cricetidae.